This is a non-coding RNA of Delphinapterus leucas (beluga whale), 5569 nucleotides long. Lineage: Eukaryota; Metazoa; Chordata; Mammalia; Artiodactyla; Monodontidae. The record is from RefSeq and is a predicted model, not a curated record.
GCUAUACUUGGGUGGGACUAUUUCUGGACUCUAUUCUGACAUUGAUCUGUGUGUCUGUUACUUUACCAAUAUUGCCCUGUCUUGAUUACUGUAGCUACAUAGUAAGUCUUAAAACCAGGAAAUAUGUUUCUUCCAACUUUUUGCCUCUUUUUCAGAAUUUUAGGUAUUUUAUAGUUCCUUUGUCUUUUCAUAUAAAUUUUAGAAUAAGAUUGUCUAUGUCUUAAAAAAAGAUCCUGCUGAGAUUUUGAUAGAAAUUGUGUUAAAUGUAUAGACCAAUUUAGGGAGAACUGAUAUCUUUACUAUAUUGAGCCUUCCAAGGCACGAACACAGUAUGUCUCCCCGUUGUUUUAGGUUUUCUCUGAUUUCUUUCAUUGGCCUUUUGUAGUUUGCAGCACACAAACAGAUCCUAAACAUGUUUUGUUAGUUUAAGUAUUUCAAUUUGCUUCAUUGUAAAUGUGUAUUAUGUUUAAAAUUUCAGUUUCCAAUUGUUCAUUGCUAGUAUAUAGAAAUACCAGUGAUUUUUUGUUAAUCUUGUAUCUGUGGCUUCCCUAGACUCACUUAUUGGUUCUGGAAAGGUUUUUGUGUUUAGAUUCCUUGGGAGUUUCUACAUACACAGUGUCAUGUGAAUAGGGACAGUUUUAUUUUCCCUUUAAAUCUCUUUUCCAGUGCCUUUUAAUUUUCUUUUCUUGCCAUAUUGCACUGACUAGGAAUUCCAGUAUUAUGCUGAAUAGGAGUGGUGAGGCUGGACAUCUUUGCCUUGCUCUUAAUGUUAUGGGGGAAGCAUUCAGUCUUUCAUCAUUAAGUAUGAUGUUGACUAUAGGGUUUUUUGUUUUUUAUUUUUUCUAGAUACUUUUCAUUUGGUUCAAGAAGUUUCCUUCUAUUCCUAGUUCCCUGAGUUUUUAUCAUGAAUGGGGUUUGAAUGUUAUGAAUGCUUUUCCUGCUUCAAUUGAUAUGAUCAUGUGGUUUUCCUUCUCUAGACUAUUAAUAUGGUGGAUUGCAUUGAUUAUUGAAUAUUGACCUAGCUUUUCAUUCUUGGAUUAAUCCCACUUGCUUAUGGUGUCUUGUACUCUUUAUAUAUGGCUGGAUCCAAUUUGCUAAUAUUUCAUUGAGGAUUCUUGUCUCUGUGUUCAUGAGGGAUGUUGGUCUAUGGUACUGCAUUUGUAUGGUUUUGAUAUCAGGGUAAUGUUGGCUUCAUAAAAUGAUUUGAGAAGUGUUCCCUCCUCUAAUUUCCUGGAAGGGAUUGUGCAGGAUUGUUAUUUCUUUAAACGUUUGGUAAAAUUUACCAGUGAAACCAUCUGGCUUUGGUGAUUUCCUUUUUGGGGGACGGUUUUAAUGAUAACUUCAGUGUCUUUGCUAGUUAUACAACUACUCAGAUUAUGUAUUAUUUCAUCUUCAGUGAGUUUUAGUAGUUUGUGGUUUUCAAGGAAUCGGUUUAUUUCAUCUAACUUGAGUUUAAGUGCAUAAAGUUGUUCCUGGUGUUCCUUUAUUUUGGGAAUAUCUUGAGGGAUCUGUAUGAUAUACCAUCUCUCAUUCCUAAUAUUGGUAGUUUGUAUCUUUUUUUCCCUUGGAUGACCCUCUAGCAAGAUUGACACUUCCACUGAUUUUGUCAAAGAACUGGUUUUGAUUUUUUUUUCUAUUUUUGCCUUUGACUUCAUUGUUUUCUGCUCUUUCUUUACUGUCUUUAUUUUGGUGAACGGCCCCCUGCUGUUGAUGGGUGGAGUUCUAUAAAAAUAAAUGGAGCUAAGCUGCUUAAUGGUCCUGUUUUCUCUAUUACAUCCUUGACGAGAAGAGCGUCUUCACUUGCAUGCAGUCCAGUCGAUCCAGUAUAUAUAACACUUAGUGGCUAGCUCUUUGUGUCUUAUUUGGUAAAAAGUUACCUAUCCCUAUUUUUUCUUUCAAAAGCUUUACUGUUUUACCUUUUACAUUUGCAGUUUAUCCUGGCUUGUUCUGUAUGGUAUAAGUAAGGGUUAAGAAUACUUUUUUGUUGUUUCUAUUGCAAGUAUCAAUUGACCCUAGUUAUUUUUACUAUUUUUUUUUAAAUGAGAAACCUAUUGCUUGGGGCAGCAAUUUGCUGAAGAAGCCUGAAAAGGGAGGGAGCCACAGGGGGUGUCCCUGACUCAGAGAGAAGCCCCGUAGCAGGCUGUGUGUGUGUGACGUUAUUUGGCCUUUACGUCUAGGCAGUCGCUAAAGGUUGGUAGCUGUGGGCAGUUAUCACCCCUGCCCCAAAGGGGUCUUCUCCAGCCAGCCCCUUCCCUCUUUUUGUGGGGAUGGCUUAUGUGUGUGUCUCCUCAUUUAGCUCUGGUGUCACUUGGGGCCAAGGAGCCUAGUGAGGCUGUGAAUCUUACUUUGGAGGAAUGUGGGCUUUGCCUGGGAGCUUCCGGGGUCCACUUUGACCUUCUUCGCUCUGUCUGGCCUGGGUGUUACCACCCGGGGCAGCCUGUCUCACAGCUCCUGUGGCUGGAUGAAAUGAUUCACUUUUGUGUGUCAGUUUGGCUAGGCCAUGGUGCCUAGAUGUCUCUGGGAUUUUUUAGAUGUGAUUAACAUUUCAACCAGUAGACUCUGAAUGAAGCAGAUGACCAUCAUGUGGGCGGGCCUCAUUCCAAUCAGUUGAAGGCUAGAAGACUGAGGUCCCCAAGAAGAAAGGAACCCAGACCCGAGCCCUGCAGUACCAGCUCCUUCCUGAGGCUCCAGCCUGUCGGCCAGCGCUGGAAAUGUCGGACUCCCUGGCCCCGACAGUCACGUCCUUCACUGUUUGUCCCAGGGCCUGGCGGGACACAGUGGUGGAUGGACGCAAGGCUGAGCCCAAGCUCCCCGCCAGUUUCCCAGGAAUAGCCAGGUGAGUGACCUGACGCCACGGUGUCCUGAAAGCACCUCUCGGAAGAGGUGGGACAGGGGGAGGGCCACAGUCACAUAAAAAUAUAAAUUUAGGGGAAUUUUACAUGGGUCGGGGUCCACUAUACAUCUUCCUGGUGGAUCUGGGCUUUCUGGGCUCUGGAGCAGAAUUUUUCACAUAGUUUGAAGAGCUCUGACAAAAUGAACACGGAGGAGGCCAAUCCAGUUAAAAGCAAUAGAUCUGCCAACAGGUGAAGAGAGAAAAAGGUCAGAGAGUGCAAGCUGGCCCCUCUGGUCCCCAGCCCUGUGCUGCCCAGCACCGGAGCCCAGGGGGCCGCGGAGUUCCGUUCCCCGUGCUUGGUUCGUUCUGAGUCACAGAGGCAAGGGGCCAGGACCCGGGAGCCAAGGACCGGACUUUCCACUGUCCUGAUGGGGCAGAGAUUUCCCCAGCCCAGCAUCCAAAACGCUGCAGAGCCAGCUCCACCAGGACCAGCUGGUCUUUGCAGGCGGCUCAGAGCUGGGGGGCGGGCAGGCUGCAAGCCUCAGCUGUAAGGAGACCGUUCCUUGGGCAGACGUCCCGGCCACGGCUCAGGCUCCCAGUCCCGCCCGACUCCAGCUAGUUCUGACCCCUACAUUCUCCCCCUGAGCCUUUUCUGGGCUCCCUGCUGUCAACGAUGCGUGACGGACAUAGUGCCCGGCACAGGCCCUGCACUUCCUUUAGACUUGGGAAGCUUCCUGAAUUCCCAGUGGAUGGAAACAUCUGUAAAAAAACAUUUUUAGGUUUUUUUCCUUUCUCCGUACCCUCAGGGACCCUGCUUUUUAGAUUUUUGGGGAAGGAGAAGCGGAGGGUUCCCAGUCUUGCCCAAAGGUUUUCAGUGCCCUUGUCUCCACCACCUCGGAGGCUGCUGAGCAUUUCAUGAUCCUGGGAUGUGCCCCGCCCUGUGCUCUGCCUUGGAGGCUGCCCUGGGGGGCUGCCUCCCCAGCCCCCUCACACUCUGGCUCCCCAGUGGGGUCUGGGAUUGCUGACGGAAAGCUGGGUCGGCGGUCGCCCUGGUGCUCUCCCUGCACUGCUGCUCUCCAGGCCACCUCCUCCCACUCCUGGUCCCCGUCAGCACCGUUUCAGGCAGAGAAGGCCAAGCCACGCGGCGCAGCUUCCGAAGAGAAGCCUGCUGAAGAUGCGGGGCAGUCCCCGGGGUGCCCCACGUGGCAUGUGUGCUUGGGGCCCAGACAGCUGUGGUCAUUGCAUGUGGCCCUUUCAGCAGGGACUACCAGCUGGCCCACUCCUGCCUCCAGGUAAGUGGGUCCCAGGGACACAGGCCCUGUUCAAACCCCAACAGGGUAACCACACUCCUAAGCUGGGGCAGCACAUCACAGGCUGAGCCCAGACUGUGGUCCAUCCUGGCGCUGCCCCUGGGCCUCACCGUCCCUGCUCUGAGCCUCCUGCUGUGGGGAGGGGGUGGGCCGGGACGUUGAGACCCCUGUGCCCUCCCCUGACUCCUAGCAGGUACCCCCGUGUUUCCCGCCUUCUCCACUCCCCCCAUCGCGUCGCCCCCUCCUACCCAGUGCAGAUGUCCAGGAACGAGCCCAGUCCUUUGGGGACAGGAUGGCCCCACGCAGGGACUUUACGCCCCGGAAAGGUCUGCAGCUGCCCCGUGCAUGCGGCAAGGACGGCUGUGGUCCCGGGUGACCCCUCCCACUCACCGAGCGCCCCCAGGUUCUCCGUCUGGAAGACCUUCUGCAGGGGCGGCAGGUAUAUCACUGCUAGCUGCCCCAGGACAGAACCGAGCACGGAGUAGAGGAACGUGUGGUUCCUGAGGAAGCCGAUCUCGGAUAUCAGCUUGGUCUGCAGAGAAGAAGGGCACAGUUGGGGCACAGGAGCCGCCCAGAGACGAGGGCCAGGAAAGCGUGAGCUGGGGCAGUGGGGGCUCACCUGGGAGCGGCAGGUCAAGGCGUUGAAGAGGUCGAAGAGCACGAAGCAGGUGAAGGUCAUGGUUGUGGUACGUGGGGUGCUUGCCUUGUCUUCGGGCAUCUGGAACACGAGUGCACGGGGUGAGAAGGUGCAGGGGAGGCGGGGACCCUGUCCUCAGGACCCCUGUGUGAGAGCUGACAGAUCUGUGCCUCUCUCCCCCGCCUGGCUGAGCACACGCGCUGGACAAAGGUGGGGGCCUCUUCCACCUUCUGGGCCAUUGAGGAUGCAAGAGCCCAGCUGCUCCUUGGGGGUGGUGUGGGGAACACCUGAGAAAAACAGAGCUGGGGGCUGUCUGGCGCCCCAUCCCCCCUCCCGCACAUGGGCGAGCUGGGGUUUAAACGCCUGGACGAUCACCUGCCUAAUUCUCUAUCUAGCUCACCGGCCGUGUCAGCACAGGGGCUGUCUGAACCUGCAGGCCAUGGAAAGGUGACGCAUAGUAAAGAUCCCCUACAGCGAGAACAGACGGCCUCUUCACAGCACUACUUACAAAAGCCAAAACAUGGACGCAGCCUCAACGUCCAUCAACAGAGGAAAGCAUAAAGAGGUGGUACAUACAUACAAUGGAAUAUUACUCAGCCAGAAAAAAGAGUGAAAUAAUGCUACCUGCGGCAACGUGGACCUGGAGCUUAUCAUACUAAGUGAAGUAAGCCAGACAAAGACAAAUAUAUGCUAUCACUUAUAUGUGGAGUCUAAAAAAAAAUGAUACAAAUGAACUUAUUUACAAAACAGACUCACAGACUUUGAAAACAAACUUAUGGUUACUAAAGG